RNAcentral lists this unclassified non-coding RNA (333 nucleotides) under soil metagenome. Its description in RNAcentral is "partial contains 5.8S ribosomal RNA, internal transcribed spacer 2, and large subunit ribosomal RNA". The stretch from base 1 to 120 matches the Rfam family "5.8S ribosomal RNA", at positions 35 to 154 of the family's 154-position model. The record is from RNAcentral.
GAUGAAGAACGCAGCGAAAUGCGAUACGUAAUGUGAAUUGCAGAAUUCAGUGAAUCAUCGAAUCUUUGAACGCACAUUGCGCCUGCCAGCACUCUGGCAGGCAUGCCUGUUCGAGCGUCAUUUCAACCAUCAAGCCCUAGGCUUGCGUUGGAGCCCUGCGGCUGCCGCAGGCCCCUAAAAGCAGUGGCGGGCUCGCUAUCACACCGAGUGCAGUAGAUUACUCUUCGCUCAGGGCGUGUGGCGGGUUCCAGCCGUGAACCCCCUACUUCUCAAGGUUGACCUCGGAUCAGGUAGGAAUACCCGCUGAACUUAAGCAUAUCAAUAAGCGGAGGA